GGGCGAGCAGAGCAGGCCGCAAGACACGCCACACAGCAUCACUCCACCCCAGCACGUCCCAGGCAGACGAGAGGGUGACAUCAAAGCACAUCAAAAUACACGAAGCGACUAGGUAAGGCCGUCACCCCGUCAUCCCGUCAUCCUGCCGCCGCCCUACCUGCCGCAGUUGAAGCCGAGCCAGCCCCACCACAACAUGAACAUGCCCAGGAUGGCGUUGGUGGGCGAUCCCAUGGGCAGCGAGGCCUCCCCGUCGUCAUACCGCCCGAUCCUGGGACCCACCAUCUUCGAGGCCACUAAAGCUGUGACGCGAGGGAGGAACAACAGGUGCACGCCGCAGGAGCCAGCGAUGUCCACCACGCCCAGCUGGAACAGGAAGCCAUGCUCGGCCCAGAUCCAGCCGGCGGGGAUGCAGUAGACGAUUGUGUUCACCGCCGAAAAGAUUACGUACGCCACGAAGUUGAAC
Molecule: long non-coding RNA, 463 nt
Organism: Portunus trituberculatus (swimming crab)
Lineage: Eukaryota; Metazoa; Arthropoda; Malacostraca; Decapoda; Portunidae
Exons: 3
Source: RefSeq, a predicted model, not a curated record